UUUCAUCUCAGUCCAUGUAUCUACCUCUCGCCGUUCCUCUCUCAACAUUUCUCUUUGGUAUUUAUGCCACCAAACAAGGGCAUAGUCGGAGAAUUCAGCUGCUGCUAGCUUGACUUUCUGCGCAUCAGUGUAGUCAUUGCAGGCAAAUACGUGCUCAGUCUUCAUUUCCUAGUCCAGGUAGGCAUCUGGAUCACUUCUACCUUUGAAGGGAGGAACAUUGAGCUUUACUCCCUCAACCCGGUUCUGCCUCGGUCCGUCAUUACCGCCAUUGUUACCUCUAUUCCCAUCUAUAUUUCGUUUAGCAUUCUGAUUGGCUUGGUUCUCCAAAGCUUCUAGUCGUCCAU
This 344-nucleotide long non-coding RNA is filed under the name Glycine max (soybean). RNAcentral describes it as "long non-coding RNA (GMAX_LNC004732)". Lineage: Eukaryota; Viridiplantae; Streptophyta; Magnoliopsida; Fabales; Fabaceae. The record is from RNAcentral.